This is a non-coding RNA of Corylus avellana, 546 nucleotides long. The record is from RefSeq and is a predicted model, not a curated record. Lineage: Eukaryota; Viridiplantae; Streptophyta; Magnoliopsida; Fagales; Betulaceae.
CAUCUAAAUCAGAUAAUUGAAGUCAAUCAGAUUAAUUUAUCUCCCUGAUGGGAGCUCUCGGAGCUCUCUGUGGUACACACCCCCUACAUUCGAACAGCAGCAAGCGUCGUGCAUGCUUAUAGCUGCUUUUGGAAUCUUACAUAUCUUUAGCGUUUUAGAAACCUAAAUGUAUUCAACCUACCCUUAAAUUUAUCUUUCGAGGAAGUUUUGUUGAUUAUUCUCUUCUUUGAUUCUGUCCAUAUUGUGUCAUACGUGCAGAAGACUAGGAGUAUAUUCUUCCUUUCUGCUUCCAUUUUGACACUGAUGCUGUUGGCACUUUUCUAUAUCUUCAUCUAUAUGCACCGGAGGGGAAUGAAAGGGGGAACAGUGGAGCUGAAGCGCAUCUCAAAAAGUGUGCAGAAGAAAAAGCCCUCUUAGUAGGUCAAGUUUUUCCAUAUGAACACCAAGAUUCCAGAUGUACUUUAUACAAUCACAGAAAGCUUUACUUUUUGUUCUUAACAGAAAUGGAGUUACUAAUACCUCGAGGGAUAAUCCCAUUUUUAUCAA